Molecule: small nucleolar RNA, 82 nt
Organism: Danio rerio (zebrafish)
Lineage: Eukaryota; Metazoa; Chordata; Actinopteri; Cypriniformes; Danionidae
Gene: SNORD68
Product: small nucleolar RNA, C/D box 68
Source: Ensembl
UGAUGACAAUUCUCCGGAAUCUCUGUACUUCCUUGAUGAUCCACUUUGAACCCUUUUUGCUGAUGACUGUAUUUGACUCGUG